This 314-nucleotide long non-coding RNA is filed under the name Glycine max (soybean). RNAcentral describes it as "long non-coding RNA (GMAX_LNC000909)". Lineage: Eukaryota; Viridiplantae; Streptophyta; Magnoliopsida; Fabales; Fabaceae. The record is from RNAcentral.
AUCACCAGUACUAUGAUAUCCCUCCUCUCGAAGGGUCUCUCAAGCAGAAAACAGGAACCGAUUCCAUCACAGGACCAAACUUACAGUGUGGUAUCCGUUGCAUCAUUCAGUAAUACACUUUGUAACAUGACAUGAUGACUCUAGCCAAGUUGAAAGGGCCUUAAAAUUAACUUAACAUGAAAUUAACUAGUUUUGCUACCCAGUGGCUCACAAAUUUUUUGAGAACCUUUGGACACGCACCAUGGUCCUCUACAAAACAUGAACCUAGCAGGGAAAACGUAUGCAACCAAGGUCAACACUACCUAAUAUCAACG